GAUGAACGCUAGCUACAGGCUUAACACAUGCAAGUCGCGGGGCAGCAUGGGGGUUGUUUGCAAUCCCCGAUGGCGACCGGCGCACGGGUGAGUAACGCGUAUCCAACCUGCCCUUCACCACGGGAUAACCCGGCGAAAGUCUGACUAAUACCGUAUGUUGUCCAUUGACGGCUUCCGAUUUGGAUGAGAGGUUUGGGGGGGAUGGAGGGGGAUGCGUGCGGUUUGCUGGAGGGGGGGGUGACGGCCAGGCUGGGGGACGCUCGGUAUGGGCUAUGAGGGGGAGGUCCCCCACACUGGAACUGCGACACGGUCCACGCUCCUACGGGCGGCAGCAGUGAGGAAUAUUGGUGAAUGGGCGUAAGCCUGAACCAGCCAAGUGGCGUGCAGGAUGACGGCCCUCUGGGUUGUAAACUGCUUUUAGGCGGGGAAAAAGUAGCCCACGUGUGGGUUUUUGCCGGUACCGCAUGAAUAAGGACCGGCUAAUUACGUG
RNAcentral lists this ribosomal RNA (490 nucleotides) under uncultured bacterium. RNAcentral describes it as "partial 16S ribosomal RNA". It matches the Rfam family "Bacterial small subunit ribosomal RNA", at positions 28 to 507 of the family's 1533-position model. The record is from RNAcentral.